AGGACUGUAGCUUGGUGGUAGAGCAUCUGAUUUGAAUAUAGAAAGUCCUAUGUUCAAUCCCUAGUAUUCCUA
Molecule: non-coding RNA, 72 nt
Organism: Podarcis lilfordi (Lilford's wall lizard)
Lineage: Eukaryota; Metazoa; Chordata; Lepidosauria; Squamata; Lacertidae
Source: the annotation of a GenBank genome assembly